Molecule: ribosomal RNA, 485 nt
Filed under: uncultured bacterium
Lineage: Bacteria
Description: partial 16S ribosomal RNA
Rfam family: Bacterial small subunit ribosomal RNA
Source: RNAcentral
AUUGAACGCUGGCGGCAUGCCUUACACAUGCCAGUCGAACGGCAGCACGGGUGCUUGCACCUGGUGGCGAGUGGCGAACGGGUGAGUAAUACAUCGGAACAUGUCCUGUAGUGGGGGAUAGCCCGGCGAAAGCCGGAUUAAUACCGCAUACGAUCUACGGAUGAAAGCGGGGGACCUUCGGGCCUCGCGCUAUAGGGUUGGCCGAUGGCUGAUUAGCUAGUUGGGGGGGUAAAGGCCUACCAAGGCGAAGAUCAGUAGCUGGUCUGAGAGGACGACCAGCAACACUGGGACUGAGACACGGCCCAGACUCCUACGGGAGGCAGCAGUGGGGAAUUUUGGACAAUGGGCGAAAGCCUGAUCCAGCAAUGCCGCGUGUGUGAAGAAGGCCUUCGGGUUGUAAAGCACUUUUGUCCGGAAAGAAAUCCUUGGCCCUAAUACGGUCGGGGGAUGACGGUACCGGAAGAAUAAGCACCGGCUAACUACGU